UCCCGGCGGUCCAAGUCGCAUCCACAAUUAUUGGGUCUAAAACAUCCGUAGCUUGCUUUGUAAGUCUCUUGUGAAAUCUGACAUCUCAAAUGUCAGGCGUGCAAGAGAUACUGCAUUGCUAGAGACCGGAAGGCGCAAAGAGUACGAUUGAGGUAGUGGUAAAAUAUGUUAAUCUUGAUCGGACUAACAAUGGCGAAGGCACUUUGCGAGUACGGAUCUGACAGUGAGGGAUGAAGGCUAGGGGCGCAAAAGG
This 253-nucleotide ribosomal RNA is filed under the name uncultured archaeon. Its description in RNAcentral is "partial 16S ribosomal RNA". It matches the Rfam family "Archaeal small subunit ribosomal RNA", at positions 474 to 726 of the family's 1478-position model. The record is from RNAcentral.